RNAcentral lists this ribosomal RNA (527 nucleotides) under Anastrepha antilliensis. RNAcentral describes it as "partial small subunit ribosomal RNA". The stretch from base 395 to 527 matches the Rfam family "Bacterial large subunit ribosomal RNA", at positions 2473 to 2605 of the family's 2925-position model. Lineage: Eukaryota; Metazoa; Arthropoda; Insecta; Diptera; Tephritidae. The record is from RNAcentral.
AAACAUGUCUUUUUGAGUUAAUUUUAAAGUCUAACCUGCCCACUGAAUAAUUUUAAAUGGCCGCAGUAUUUUGACUGUGCAAAGGUAGCAUAAUCAUUAGUCUUUUAAUUGGAGGCUGGUAUGAAUGGUUGGACGAGGUAUAAACUGUUUCAUAUAAAUUUAUUAUAGAAUUUUAUAUUUUAGUAAAAAAGCUAAAAUUUUAUUAAAAGACGAGAAGACCCUAUAAAUCUUUAUAUUUAAUUUUAUUUUAAUUUUUUAGAUUUAUUUUAUUAUUAUUAUAUUAAAUAUUUUAUUGGGGUGAUGUUAAAAUUUAAUAAACUUUUAAUUAUUUAAAAUCAUUAAUUUAUGAUUUAUUGAUCCGAUAAUAUUGAUUAUAAGAUUAAGUUACUUUAGGGAUAACAGCGUAAUUUUUUUUGAGAGUUCAUAUCGAUAAAAAAGUUUGCGACCUCGAUGUUGGAUUAAGAUAUAAUUUUGGGUGUAGCUGUUCAAAUGUUAAGUCUGUUCGACUUUUAAAUUCUUACAUGAUC